RNAcentral lists this ribosomal RNA (479 nucleotides) under uncultured bacterium. Its description in RNAcentral is "partial 16S ribosomal RNA". It matches the Rfam family "Bacterial small subunit ribosomal RNA", at positions 28 to 507 of the family's 1533-position model. The record is from RNAcentral.
GAUGAACGCUAGCGGGAGGCUUAACACAUGCAAGCCGAGGGGUAUAGUUCUUUCGGGAACUCGAGACCGGCGCACGGGUGCGUAACGCGUAUGCAACUUGCCCUACUGAAAAGGAUAGCCCUUCGAAAGGAGGAUUAAUACUUUAUAACAGAUUUAAUGGCAUCAUUAGAUUUUGAAAGAUUUAUCGCAGUAGGAUAGGCAUGCGUAAGAUUAGUUAGUUGGUGAGGUAACGGCUCACCAAGACGAUGAUCUUUAGGGGGCCUGAGAGGGUGAACCCCCACACUGGUACUGAGACACGGACCAGACUCCUACGGGAGGCAGCAGUGAGGAAUAUUGGACAAUGGGUGGAAGCCUGAUCCAGCCAUCCCGCGUGUAGGAUGACGGCCUUAUGGGUUGUAAACUACUUUUAUCUGGGGAUAAACCUACUUACGUGUAAGUAGCUGAAGGUACCAGAAGAAUAAGCACCGGCUAACUCCGUG